GUGGGGAAUAUUGGGCAAUGGGCGCAAGCCUGACCCAGCAACGCCGCGUGAAGGAAGAAGGCUUUCGGGUUGUAAACUUCUUUUACCAGGGACGAAAAAAAUGACGGUACCUGGAGAAUAAGCCACGGCUAACUACGUGCCAGCAGCCGCGGUAAUACGUAGGUGGCAAGCGUUGUCCGGAUUUACUGGGUGUAAAGGGCGCGUAGGCGGGAGAGCAAGUCAGGAGUGAAAUCUAUGGGCUUAACCCAUAAAUUGCUUUUGAAACUGUUUUUCUUGAGUGAUGGAGAGGCAAGCGGAAUUCCUAGUGUAGCGGUGAAAUGCGUAGAUAUUAGGAGGAACACCAGUGGCGAAGGCGGCUUGCUGGACAUUAACUGACGCUGAUGCGCGAAAGCGUGGGGAGCAAACAGGAUUAGAUACCCCUGUAGUCC
RNAcentral lists this ribosomal RNA (428 nucleotides) under uncultured bacterium. RNAcentral describes it as "partial 16S ribosomal RNA". It matches the Rfam family "Bacterial small subunit ribosomal RNA", at positions 354 to 796 of the family's 1533-position model. The record is from RNAcentral.